This 706-nucleotide non-coding RNA is filed under the name Pongo abelii (Sumatran orangutan). Lineage: Eukaryota; Metazoa; Chordata; Mammalia; Primates; Hominidae. The record is from RNAcentral.
UGUCCACGCCUUACCGAAAGGAGUCCUGACUCAGAGCUGCUGUGCCGUCCCUUCUCCUGUCCCUGCCUGGAAGAGGCCUAUCAGGUUGACCAAGCUUUGCUCCCACCUGUGGGUGAGAAGGGCAGAUGGCCGAGAGUGGGUGUGGAGGAGGAGGAAGACUGGAUGCCAAUGAUCCUGAUCUCACUCUGUCACCAAGGCUGGAGUGCAGCAGCACAAUUUCAGCUCACUGCAACCUCGACUUGCUGGGUUCAAAGGAUCCUCCCAAGUAGCUGGGACUACAGGUGCGCACCAUCAUGCCUGGCUAAUUUUUUGUAGGGAUGGAGUUUUACCAUGCUGCCCAGGCUGGUCUUGAACUUCUGAGUUCAAGCGAUCCUCCCUCCUGAGCCUCCUAAAGUGCUGGGAUUACAGGUUUAAAAAAUAUCCUGGACUUUGGAAAAUAUUCUUAUAUAAAGAAGCAAAAAGAAGAUGGAAUAGAGUUGUGCUAACACUGAAACUCCAGUCAAGCUGUAAACUGAAAAAGAACGUGUUGGAACUAGGAAUUGCCCCAUGGCCUUCACAGGUAACGCUGAUGCUUCAAGUCUUGGAACCACACUUCGAGAAUCACUGUUAUAAUGUACAGCAGAACUGCAUGAUCAGCUGUAUGGUAGCCUUGAAAACCAACAGGCCACAAUCACAGUGAAAACCUCAGGUUGGCAGCCAUUGGAGG